RNAcentral lists this ribosomal RNA (420 nucleotides) under uncultured bacterium. RNAcentral describes it as "partial 16S ribosomal RNA". It matches the Rfam family "Bacterial small subunit ribosomal RNA", at positions 359 to 773 of the family's 1533-position model. The record is from RNAcentral.
ACAAUAAACAACGAGCGAAAGCCUGAUCCAGCCAGACUGCGUGUGUAAAGAAGGACUUCGUCCUGUAAAGCACCUCAAGAUUGGGGGAUGGGUCGUAGGAUAAUAUCCUGCAUUGUCGACGUUACUAACAGAAUAAGCACCGCCUAUCGUCGUGCCAGCAGCCGCGGUAAUACGAAGGGUGCAAGCGUUAAUCGGAAUUACUGGGCGUAAAGCGCGCGUAGGUGGUUCGUUAAGUUGGAAGUGAAAGCCCCGGGCUUAACCUGGGAAUUGCUUUCAAAACUGACGAGCUAGAGUACGGUGGAGGGUAGUGGAAUUUCCUGUGUAGCGGUGAAAUGAGUAGAUAUAGGAAGGAACAUCAGUGGCGAAGGCGGCUACCUGGACUGAUACUGACACUGAGGUGCGAAAGCGUGGGGAGCAAAC